Molecule: ribosomal RNA, 1026 nt
Filed under: Rhytidhysteron neorufulum
Lineage: Eukaryota; Fungi; Ascomycota; Dothideomycetes; Hysteriales; Hysteriaceae
Description: SSU rRNA
Rfam family: Eukaryotic small subunit ribosomal RNA
Source: RNAcentral
ACCGUGAAACUGCGAAUGGCUCAUUAAAUCAGUUAUCGUUUAUUUGAUAGUACCUUACUACUUGGAUAACCGUGGUAAUUCUAGAGCUAAUACAUGCUAAAAACCCCGACUUCGGGAGGGGUGUAUUUAUUAGAUAAAAAACCAAUGCCCUUCGGGGCUCCUUGGUGAAUCAUAAUAACUUAACGGAUCGCAUGGCCUUGCGCCGGCGACGGUUCAUUCAAAUUUCUGCCCUAUCAACUUUCGAUUGUAGGGUAUUGGCCUACAAUGGUAUCAACGGGUAACGGGGAAUUAGGGUUCGAUUCCGGAGAGGGAGCCUGAGAAACGGCUACCACAUCCAAGGAAGGCAGCAGGCGCGCAAAUUACCCAAUCCCGACACGGGGAGGUAGUGACAAUAAAUACUGAUACAGGGCUCUUUUGGGUCUUGUAAUUGGAAUGAGUACAAUUUAAAUCCCUUAACGAGGAACAAUUGGAGGGCAAGUCUGGUGCCAGCAGCCGCGGUAAUUCCAGCUCCAAUAGCGUAUAUUAAAGUUGUUGCAGUUAAAAAGCUCGUAGUUGAACCUUGGGUCUGGCUGGCCGGUCCGCCUCACCGCGUGCACUGGUCCGGCCGGACCUUUCCUUCUGGAGAACCGCAUGCCCUUCACUGGGUGUGCCGGGGAACCAGGACUUUUACUUUGAAAAAAUUAGAGUGUUCAAAGCAGGCCUUUGCUCGAAUACAUUAGCAUGGAAUAAUAGAAUAGGACGUGCGGUCCUAUUUUGUUGGUUUCUAGGACCGCCGUAAUGAUUAAUAGGGAUAGUCGGGGGCAUCAGUAUUCAAUUGUCAGAGGUGAAAUUCUUAGAUUUAUUGAAGACUAACUACUGCGAAAGCAUUUGCCAAGGAUGUUUUCAUUAAUCAGUGAACGAAAGUUAGGGGAUCGAAGACGAUCAGAUACCGUCGUAGUCUUAACCGUAAACUAUGCCGACUAGGGAUCGGGCGAUGUUAUUCUUUUGACUCGCUCGGCACCUUACGAGAAAUCAAAGUUUUUGGGU